UACGUAGGGGGCGAGCGUUGUCCGGAAUCAUUGGGCGUAAAGAGCGUGUAGGCGGCUUGGCAAGUCUGACGUGAAAGCCCGCGGCUCAACUGUGGGCUUGCAGCUGAUACGGGCAGGCUUGAGUUCGGUAGGGGAGACUGGAAUUCCUGGUGUAGCGGUGAAAUGCGCAGAUAUCAGGAGGAACACCGGUGGCGAAGGCGGGUCUCUGGGCCGAUACUGACGCUGAGGAGCGAAAGCGUGGGGAGCGAACAGG
This 253-nucleotide ribosomal RNA is filed under the name uncultured bacterium. RNAcentral describes it as "partial 16S ribosomal RNA". It matches the Rfam family "Bacterial small subunit ribosomal RNA", at positions 524 to 776 of the family's 1533-position model. The record is from RNAcentral.